UGGGGAAUAUUGGACAAUGGGGGGAACCCUGAUCCAGCCAUGCCGCGUGUGUGAAGAAGGCCUUAUGGUUGUAAAGCACUUUAAGCGAGGAGGAGGGUACUGGUAUUAAUACUACCAGGUAUUGGACGUUACUCGCAGAAUAAGCACCGGCUAACUCUGUGCCAGCAGCCGCGGUAAUACAGAGGGUGCAAGCGUUAAUCGGAAUUACUGGGCGUAAAGCGCGCGUAGGUGGUUCGUUAAGUUGAAUGUGAAAGCCCCGGGCUCAACCUGGGAACUGCAUCCAAAACUGGCGAGCUAGAGUAGGGCAGAGGGUGGUGGAAUUUCCUGUGUAGCGGUGAAAUGCGUAGAUAUAGGAAGGAACACCAGUGGCGAAGGCGACCACCUGGGCUCAUACUGACACUGAGGUGCGAAAGCGUGGGGAGCAAACAGG
RNAcentral lists this ribosomal RNA (430 nucleotides) under Pseudomonadota bacterium. RNAcentral's name for it is "Proteobacteria bacterium partial 16S ribosomal RNA". It matches the Rfam family "Bacterial small subunit ribosomal RNA", at positions 355 to 776 of the family's 1533-position model. Lineage: Bacteria; Pseudomonadati; Pseudomonadota. The record is from RNAcentral.